Molecule: ribosomal RNA, 491 nt
Filed under: uncultured bacterium
Lineage: Bacteria
Description: partial 16S ribosomal RNA
Rfam family: Bacterial small subunit ribosomal RNA
Source: RNAcentral
GUGAACGCUGGCGGUAGGCCUAACACAUGCAAGUCGAACGGCAGCACAGUAAGAGCUUGCUCUUACGGGUGGCGAGUGGCGGACGGGGGAGGAAUACAUCGGAAUCUACUUUUUCGUGGGGGAUAACGUAGGGAAACUUACGCUAAUACCGCAUACGACCUACGGGGGAAAGCAGGGGAUCUUCGGACCUUGCGCGAUUGAAUGAGCCGAUGUCGGAUUAGCUAGUUGGCGGGGUAAAGGCCCACCAAGGCGACGAUCCGUAGCUGGUCUGAGAGGAUGAUCAGCCACACUGGAACUGAGACACGGUCCAGACUCCUACGGGAGGCAGCAGUGGGGAAUAUUGGACAAUGGGCGCAAGCCUGAUCCAGCCAUACCGCGUGGGUGAAGAAGGCCUUCGGGUUGUAAAGCCCUUUUGUUGGGAAAGAAAAGCAGCAGGUUAAUACCCCGCUGUUCUGACGGUACCCAAAGAAUAAGCACCGGCUAACUUCGUG